This 75-nucleotide transfer RNA is filed under the name Ursus arctos (brown bear). RNAcentral's name for it is "tRNA-Leu". It matches the Rfam family "tRNA". From Rfam's summary of the family: Transfer RNA (tRNA) molecules are approximately 80 nucleotides in length. Their secondary structure includes four short double-helical elements and three loops (D, anti-codon, and T loops). The record is from RNAcentral. Lineage: Eukaryota; Metazoa; Chordata; Mammalia; Carnivora; Ursidae.
GUUAGGGUGGCAGGGCCCGGUGAUUGCAUAAAACUUAAACCUUUAUACUCAGAGGUUCAAAUCCUCUCCCUAACA